GAAUAAUAAGAUAGGACUUCGGAACUAUUUUGUUGGUUUGCGUUACGAAGUAAUGAUUAAUAGGGACAGUUGGGGGUAUUCGUAUUUCGUUGUCAGAGGUGAAAUUCUUGGAUUUCCGAAAGACGAACUACUGCGAAAGCAUUUACCAAGGAUGUUUUCAUUAAUCAAGAACGAAAGUUAGGGGAUCGAAGAUGAUUAGAUACCAUCGUAGUCUUAACCAUAAACUAUGCCGACUCGGGAUUGGCGGUUGUUUUUUGACUCCGUCAGCACCGUAUGAGAAAUCAAAGUCUUU
This 292-nucleotide ribosomal RNA is filed under the name Neobodo designis. RNAcentral describes it as "partial Eukaryotic small subunit ribosomal RNA". It matches the Rfam family "Eukaryotic small subunit ribosomal RNA", at positions 812 to 1108 of the family's 1831-position model. Lineage: Eukaryota; Euglenozoa; Kinetoplastea; Neobodonida; Neobodonidae. The record is from RNAcentral.